CCUACGGGAGGCAGCAGUGGGGAAUUUUGGACAAUGGGCGAAAGCCUGAUCCAGCCAUUCCGCGUGCAGGAUGAAGGCCCUCGGGUUGUAAACUGCUUUUGUACAGAACGAAAAGGUUUCUAUUAAUACUAGGAGCUCAUGACGGUACUGUAAGAAUAAGCACCGGCUAACUACGUGCCAGCAGCCGCGGUAAUACGUAGGGUGCAAGCGUUAAUCGGAAUUACUGGGCGUAAAGCGUGCGCAGGCGGUUAUAUAAGUCAGAUGUGAAAUCCCCGGGCUCAACCUGGGAACUGCAUUUGAGACUGUAUAGCUAGAGUACGGUAGAGGGGGAUGGAAUUCCGCGUGUAGCAGUGAAAUGCGUAGAUAUGCGGAGGAACACCGAUGGCGAAGGCAAUCCCCUGGACCUGUACUGACGCUCAUGCACGAAAGCGUGGGGAGCAAACAGGAUUAGAUACCCUGGUAGUCCACGCCCUAAACGAUGUCAACUGGUUGUUGGGUCUUAACUGACUCAGUAACGAAGCUAACGCGUGAAAGUUGACCGCCUGGGGAGUAAGGCCGCAAGGUUGAAACUUCAAAGGAAUUGACGG
Molecule: ribosomal RNA, 587 nt
Filed under: uncultured bacterium
Lineage: Bacteria
Description: bacterial SSU rRNA
Rfam family: Bacterial small subunit ribosomal RNA
Source: RNAcentral